CCGGCACACCGGCGACAAACGUUUCCCUAUUUCGUUUGGUCUCUUGAAGGAUCCCGUCCAAUCUCCUCUCGCCGCUUCACCGCUGUUUGGCUCCUAUAAAAUGCUUCCCUCCGAUCGAGUCCCCCAAUCCACGCCGGUCUUCCUCGCCCACCUCUCGGCUACGCCCACGCCCUCCAUCUCGGUCACCUCCCGGAGCUCCCGUCCCCGUGGCCGCGCCGUCCCCCGUCCUACCUCGCGGCGUCCCUCCAUCUCCCCUGUGCGCAACCAAACUGGUGCCGCACGCAGCUGUCGCACAUCCUUCCGGCCCGGCUGCUCCACCCCCCUCCAGCCAGCUACUCCAACCACGGCGCGGCGGCCGGAUCCAAUCUAUAUGGCGUGAUGGCGACCAAAUCCAUGACGGGAAAGAGACCCAGUGGUUCCCUCCGUCUCAAGCAGCCGUCGGCCACCUGCAGCAGCCCCAGGAUUGACGGCGUCUCCCAGGCUGCCGCACGGUCCUGCUCGGCGGCCUCGAGCUGCAGCUUUGGCACAUGGUACAGGACGUGUCGCUGCUAUUCCCAUGCGGAUCCACUGAGUUGACGAUGUUGAAUCAGCUGUGGCUUCCGGACCAAUCAUGGAGUUAUGGAGGAUGUCCCCUUCCAUAGUGUUACGCUACAAGGGAUUUCAUUUCUUGCUGAAAAAUUAUGUCAGUCCUUCCUGAUUUGCACGUGUUAAUGUAACUGCUGAACAUCAGUUCUCUCUCAUCAUUCAUUGUGCAGGUUUAAGGACAUACAUAUGACAAGGCAGUUCUCUAAUGAGUAACUAACUGAUCGCAUUUUCUUCUCAGUGCUAUUUUUUCCAUGUGUGAUUUUCAGUGAGUCCUACUAGGAUGGAAGACGCUGCAAUAAUGUGUGAGUAAUGGAUGUUGGUUGCCUUUCUGAGAAACGACAGAAGCUCUCAGGUAAAAAAUACACGCAAGAUGAUUAUUUUGAAGUACUGAUGCACCUUGCAAUACAUGUAUCUGUUUUGUAUUCAUCCACUACAGAUUAUAACUAUUUACUUGUUGUUCCCGUUUAUAUAUAGUAAUAUAGGAGUGUGUUUUCCCAGUCGGGUUUUCUGAAAACUGUAGCUUGUGGAACAUGAUAGGGUAUAUUUUUUCUGCAUUUGUGAAGGACCAAAAUGUCGAUUGACUAUAGGAAUUUAGAUUAUUUAUGUUUCUCUUCAAUACUACAUGUACUAUCUCUGCUGACUGACAUUUUCCUUUUGCCAUCAAUAGUAGCACUGAAAAUCAAUGAAAUUCAUCUGUUCACAUGUUCAGUUAGCUUGGCUUGAUUCCUGUUUGCAGAAUCUAACUUUCCCUUCCCGUCGAGGGUUUCCUCUGCUCUAUAAUUUUCUUCUAUUUCCUUGUCCAAAUUGUGUUUAAAUGAUAGGCGACAUUGCAAAUUAUGACCAGCUAGCUAUGGUUUACUACGGUAUGGCUUUGUUAUGGCUCAUUUUAUUGACCAGUGUAUGGUUGGUUGUUACCAUCUUAAACCCAUAUUUUGAGACCUUGGAGAAAAGGAGGGCAACAAAGAUUUAGUUUUGGGAUGUUGAUACCAUAUAGUGAGCAUGCUGCAUGUUAUCGUAAUGUGUAAUUGGAUGUUAAGCUAAUAACUUGAUAGAUGAAAUUUAGUCGAUCUUGCUGUAUAAAUUCUAGCAUGCUGCAGACUGAUAGCUGAAAUUUUAGUCUAUCUUGCACUAUAAAUUCUGGCAAAUGCAGUUGAUCUUGCCGUACAAUUUCUGGCAUAGUGCAGACCAGGCUGCAGGAGAAAAUGACUUGCCAUACUGACACCAUACAACACCAUGACGAUGGUCGAUGGACACCAUUAUGUAAAAAAACUCAACAGUGCUAUCUUGCAUUUGUACGAGCACCUGUGCAUUAGGUAAACAUCCUUUUUUAUUCUUACUUGCCUUGCUUGAUAUGAGCAACAGCAGAUCGUUGUCCCCAUGCCAAACCAUGUGCUGCUACAAGCCGUGGGCCUUUUAUGAGUGCCAACACAACAUCAUCUAAGAUGGAUCAAAAUGGAUGCUCCAAGGCUACAAGGACAAUUGCAAUCCCGCACGUACAUCUCCGAUGACAAUCUUGUCCCAACAUAAGCAUCGACUGAAGAGAAGGUAGCUCAGGCCACACUAUCCUAACUUUGUGAUCAUCACCACAUAUACCACAACCAUGAGGCGCUCAACACAAUAACCCGCAGCUGCUCCACAGCUCGAGACUUGGCAAGGACAUGGUUGGAAACUUCAAGUCUUAAGUUUGUUAAUGAGAGCAAUGCAAAAUUCUAAAGGGUCUGAUGUGUAAGCGAAACAGGUGUAUGUCUAUCCGUCCGCUGGAAACCAUAUUUAGGUGUUGUAGAAGCUCUAAAUAAUUAGCUUUCUUGCUUUCAAGGUGCCAUUUUAUUUCAGGAUUCACCGACGUAAUCAAGUAAUGUGGAGCAGUUGCUCAUUCAAAUUUUAUAUUUUCUUAAUCAUUACCCAUCCCUAUUAGUGAUGUAUACUACCUCUGUAGAUAAAUGUAAGACUAACGUCCUACUUUUCUUUACAGAGGGAGUACUUUUUUUGGAGUAUUAAUUUCUGUCAUUCUGAUGUAUUGUCAUUCUUGCCUCUUUCUUUGGUUACUGUUUUUUUCCGAUAAUCACUGUUUGAAUUAGAUUUUUUAAGUUAUAUCACGGACCUUUUCUUAUGUCCAAUUAGUUCUGAUUUGGCAAAAACCAAAUUGCCAAGUGUUGACAAUUGGCAUGCUGCAAUGUUGUUUACAGUGAUUGUGGAACAUUAACUCGAGGUAUCCUGCGUGGUUUGGACUUUGUGAUGCUAAUUAUCCCUCAUACCAGUUCAUAUGCCUUUAAAGUUGAAACCAUAAAAAAUGUAGUGCACAUUGAUUUUCUUCGUGAUACUUCACAUCCCUUUGUUUUGGUGGUAGUACAUUGUAGCCUGUAGAAGUAAUAACCUAGCCAAAGUUAGGUGAUGGUGUUAUCCAAUUUAUACAUCUUCACAAAUGCUGCUUAGCUAAAAUUUCCUUAUUGUUCAAGAAUAACAGGUGUUCCAGCAAUAUGACAACGAAUCCGAUUUGUACUAUCUGUGGGAGAUAUCCUGGUUAUUGAUACAAUGCAACUUUACUGUGAACAAAAAUGUUCCUUGAAAGUUGGUUGACACUUCCUGGAUAUUGAUACAAUGCAACUCUGGUGUAUGGAAAUUGCAUAUUAAUUAGGUCUUUUUACUAUACUGCCUAUAUACACCUAGUGACACUUCCUUGAAACUGAAGGAAAUAUUCUUUAUAUUGUAGCUCAUGUUGAUUUUUGUAUGUAACAAUACUUGGACUGUAUGGCCUUUCUUUGAUUUAUGUUUACGUUUCAAGGCCACAUAGCAGACUUUCUUGCUUAACAU
Triticum dicoccoides is the source of this 3396-nucleotide long non-coding RNA. RefSeq lists it as uncharacterized. The transcript has 4 exons. The record is from RefSeq and is a predicted model, not a curated record. NCBI's taxonomy places the organism in Eukaryota, Viridiplantae, Streptophyta, Magnoliopsida, Poales, Poaceae.